UCCAAGGGUUCCUGCUCAACGCUAAUCGGAGCAGGGUUAGUCGGCCCCUAAGGCGAGGCCGAAAGGCGUAGUCGAUGGGAAACAGGUUAAUAUUCCUGUACUUGGUGGUAGUGACGGAUGCCGUGUGUUGUAUCUCCUUAUUGGAUUGGGGGUGCAGCGAAGGUGUUCCAGGAAAUAGCUCCACCGUAUAAACCGUACCCGAAACCGACACAGGUGGACUGGUAGAGCAUACCAAGGCGCUUGAGAGAACGAUGUUGAAGGAACUCGGCAAAAUACCUCCGUAAGUUCGCGAGAAGGAGGCCCGGUUCCUAGGCAACUAGGGGCUGGGGGCACAAACCAGGGGGUGGCGACUGUUUAUUAAAAACACAGGGCUCUGCGAAGUCGCAAGACGA
Molecule: ribosomal RNA, 392 nt
Filed under: Symbiodinium sp. CCMP2430
Lineage: Eukaryota; Dinophyceae; Suessiales; Symbiodiniaceae
Description: partial Bacterial large subunit ribosomal RNA
Rfam family: Bacterial large subunit ribosomal RNA
Source: RNAcentral